RNAcentral lists this ribosomal RNA (497 nucleotides) under uncultured bacterium. RNAcentral's name for it is "partial 16S ribosomal RNA". It matches the Rfam family "Bacterial small subunit ribosomal RNA", at positions 28 to 507 of the family's 1533-position model. The record is from RNAcentral.
GAUGAACGCUGGCGGCGUGCCUAAUACAUGCAAGUCGAGCGAACAGAUGAGGAGCUUGCUCCUCUGACGUUAGCGGCGGACGGGUGAGUAACACGUGGAUAACCUACCUAUAAGACUGGGAUAACUUCGGGAAACCGGAGCUAAUACCGGAUAAUAUAUUGAACCGCAUGGUUCAAUAGUGAAAGACGGUUUUGCUGUCACUUAUAGAUGGAUCCGCGCCGCAUUAGCUAGUUGGUAAGGUAACGGCUUACCAAGGCAACGAUGCGUAGCCGACCUGAGGGGGUGAUCGGCCGCACUGGAACUGGGACGCGGUCCAGACUCCUGCGGGAGGCAGCAGUAGGGAAUCUUCCGCAAUGGGCGAAAGCCUGACGGAGCGACGCCGCGUGAGUGAUGAAGGUCUUCGGAUCGUAAAACUCUGUUAUUAGGGAAGAACAAAUGUGUAAGUAACUAUGCACGUCUUGACGGUACCUAAUCAGAAAGCCACGGCUAACUACGUG